This 67-nucleotide transfer RNA is filed under the name Priolepis boreus. RNAcentral describes it as "tRNA-Ser". Lineage: Eukaryota; Metazoa; Chordata; Actinopteri; Gobiiformes; Gobiidae. The record is from RNAcentral.
AGAGAGGCACUGCUAGCAGCGAAGGCCGCUACCCCUCGCACCCUCGGUUGGAAUCCGAUGCUCUCUU